This 470-nucleotide long non-coding RNA is filed under the name Homo sapiens (human). RNAcentral describes it as "long non-coding RNA NONHSAT221283.1". The record is from RNAcentral. Lineage: Eukaryota; Metazoa; Chordata; Mammalia; Primates; Hominidae.
GCUAAAUGGAAUGGCAGUGGAAAAUGGGCAUCCAGUACAGCAGCACCAAAAGGAGCCACCAAAGCAGAAGAAACAGAGUUUAGGUGAAGACCAUGUGAUUCUGGAGGAGCAAAAAACAAUUCUGCCGGUAACUUCUUGCUUUAGCCAGCCACUCCCAGUGUCUAUUAGCAAUGCAAGUUGCCUCCCCAUCACCACAUCUGUCAGUGCUGGCAACCUCAUUCUGAAAACUCAUGUUAUGUCUGAAGAUAAAAACGACUUUUUAAAACCUGUUGCAAAUGGGAAGAUGGUUAACAGCUGAAAGGAGGUUCAUCUUUCAAAUUUGUGACCACACCAUGGAAGCAUUUACACUAGCUUUUUAUAUAUAUAAUAUAUAUUAUAUAAUGUAUAUUUUUUUUAAAAAAAAGAUAUUACUGGGGGCAUCCAUUUCCUGUGGACUCUUUGAUACUUCAAGCCCUCUUGCAUUAGCAUUA